Molecule: ribosomal RNA, 403 nt
Filed under: uncultured Nitrosospira sp.
Lineage: Bacteria; Pseudomonadati; Pseudomonadota; Betaproteobacteria; Nitrosomonadales; Nitrosomonadaceae
Description: bacterial SSU rRNA
Rfam family: Bacterial small subunit ribosomal RNA
Source: RNAcentral
UUGGUGAGGUAAAGGCUUACCAAGGUUUCGAUCAGUAGCUGGUCUGAGAGGACGACCAGCCACACUGGGACUGAGACACGGCCCAGACUCCUACGGGAGGCAGCAGUGGGGAAUUUUGGACAAUGGGGGAAACCCUGAUCCAGCCAUGCCGCGUGAGUGAAGAAGGCCUUCGGGUUGUAAAGCUCUUUCAGCCGGAACGAAACGGUCACGGCCAAUACCCGUGAUCACUGACGGUACCGGAAGAAGAAGCACCGGCUAACUACGUGCCAGCAGCCGCGGUAAUACGUAGGGUGCGAGCGUUAAUCGGAAUUACUGGGCGUAAAGCGUGCGCAGGCGGUUUUGUAAGUCAGAUGUGAAAUCCCCGGGCUCAACCUGGGAACUGCGUUUGAAACUACCAAGGCUA